AAGUCGUAACAAGGUUUCCGUAGGUGAACCUGCGGAAGGAUCAUUAAUGAAGUAUGGGCUUCGGCCCUCUCUCUUCUAAACACACUUGUGAACCUACCCUGUUGCUUUGGCAGGUCGGUCUAACUGACCGGAGAGGAGUGGAUUAAAAAUCUUGAAAGGUCAAACCGAAAGGUGCCUGCCAAAGAUCUUAUUCUCACACUUUUUUAUUGUCUGAUUUUUUGUUUAUACAAAAUAACAAAACUUUCAACAAUGGAUCUCUUGGCUCUG
RNAcentral lists this unclassified non-coding RNA (267 nucleotides) under fungal sp. RNAcentral describes it as "partial internal transcribed spacer region". The stretch from base 1 to 46 matches the Rfam family "Eukaryotic small subunit ribosomal RNA", at positions 1786 to 1831 of the family's 1831-position model. Lineage: Eukaryota; Fungi. The record is from RNAcentral.